This 427-nucleotide ribosomal RNA is filed under the name uncultured bacterium. RNAcentral describes it as "bacterial SSU rRNA". It matches the Rfam family "Bacterial small subunit ribosomal RNA", at positions 338 to 780 of the family's 1533-position model. The record is from RNAcentral.
CCUACGGGUGGCUGCAGUGGGGAAUUUUCCGCAAUGGGCGAAAGCCUGACGGAGCAACGCCGCGUGAGGGAGGAAGGUCUUUGGAUUGUAAACCUCUUUUCUCAAGGAAGAAGUUCUGACGGUACUUGAGGAAUCAGCCUCGGCUAACUCCGUGCCAGCAGCCGCGGUAAUACGGGGGAGGCAAGCGUUAUCCGGAAUUAUUGGGCGUAAAGCGUCCGCAGGUGGUCAGCCAAGUCUGCUGUCAAAUCAGGUUGCUUAACGACCUAAAGGCGGUGGAAACUGGCAGACUAGAGAGCAGUAGGGGUAGCAGGAAUUCCCAGUGUAGCGGUGAAAUGCGUAGAGAUUGGGAAGAACAUCGGUGGCGAAAGCGUGCUACUGGGCUGUAUCUGACACUCAGGGACGAAAGCUAGGGGAGCGAAAGGGAUUA